AGAGAUAUCAUCAUUUUUCCUCAGCAAAAACGUCAUGGGAGGUCUGAAAGCUGCUGGUUUUUCAUACUUUGACAUAUACCAAGAAAGACAUGGAAUCAACCUUGAUCGGGGAAAGGAAAAGAUUGUGGACUAAAUUGCAAAAUUUAUUUAUUUUGUAUCGAGUUUUGUCAAGCCAGCUAGGAGAUCAGGAACGGUCGGAGGUGCACUCACACUAUCAACAAACUAUUUCGGUAUAAUGACUUGUAUAUUUUGAGAAUAUGGCAUGUAUAGCAUUAUAAUCACUUUUUGUAUAUAAUCUUAUGAUAUGGCUCAUGGAUGGCAUGGAAAUGUUUGAGAAUGAUUAGCUAUUGGAGUGACUAAUCAAGAUUAUAUUUGAUAACA
This is a long non-coding RNA of Gossypium arboreum, 381 nucleotides long. RefSeq lists it as uncharacterized. Lineage: Eukaryota; Viridiplantae; Streptophyta; Magnoliopsida; Malvales; Malvaceae. The transcript has 2 exons. The record is from RefSeq and is a predicted model, not a curated record.